CCUACGAGUGGCAGCAGUGAGGAAUAUUGGUCAAUGGGCGCGAGCCUGAACCAGCCAAGUAGCGUGAAGGAUGACUGCCCUACGGGUUGUAAACUUCUUUUAUAAAGGAAUAAAGUGAGGCACGUGUGCAUUUUUGUAUGUACUUUAUGAAUAAGGAUCGGCUAACUCCGUGCCAGCAGCCGAGGUAAUACGGAGGAUCCGAGCGUUAUCCGGAUUUAUUGGGUUUAAAGGGAGCGUAGAUGGGUUGUUAAGUCAGUUGUGAAAUGUUGCGGCGCAACCGUAAAAGUGCAAUUGAUACUGGCAGCCUUGAGUACAGUUGAGGUAGGCGGAAUUCGUGGUGUAGCGGUGAAAUGCUUAGAUAUCACGAAGAACUCCGAUUGCGAAGGCAGCUUACUAAACUGCCACUGACAUUGAUGCUCGAAAGUGUGGGUAUCAAACAGGAUUAGAUACCCUUGUAGUC
RNAcentral lists this ribosomal RNA (460 nucleotides) under uncultured bacterium. Its description in RNAcentral is "partial 16S ribosomal RNA". It matches the Rfam family "Bacterial small subunit ribosomal RNA", at positions 338 to 795 of the family's 1533-position model. The record is from RNAcentral.